ACUCCUACGGGAGGCAGCAGUGGGGAAUAUUGCACAAAUGGGCGCAAAGCCUGAUGCAGCCAUGCCGCGUGUAUGAAGAAGGCCUUCGGGUUGUAAAAGCACUUUCAGUUGUGAGGAAGGUGGUGUCGUUAAUAGCGGCCUCAUUUGACGUUAGCUGCAAGAAAGAAGCACCGGCUAACUCCGUGCCAGCAGCCGCGGUAAUACGGAGGGUGCGAGCGUUAAUCGGAAUUACUGGGCGUAAAGCGCAUGCAGGUGGUUUGUUAAGUCAGAUGUGAAAGCCCGGGGCU
This 287-nucleotide ribosomal RNA is filed under the name uncultured bacterium. RNAcentral describes it as "partial 16S ribosomal RNA". It matches the Rfam family "Bacterial small subunit ribosomal RNA", at positions 335 to 609 of the family's 1533-position model. The record is from RNAcentral.